AAAACGGCCCUUUUGAGGGCCACACUUUCUCUCGAAUGGGUUUGGU
Molecule: non-coding RNA, 46 nt
Organism: Zootermopsis nevadensis
Lineage: Eukaryota; Metazoa; Arthropoda; Insecta; Blattodea; Termopsidae
Source: Rfam